RNAcentral lists this ribosomal RNA (253 nucleotides) under uncultured bacterium. RNAcentral's name for it is "partial 16S ribosomal RNA". It matches the Rfam family "Bacterial small subunit ribosomal RNA", at positions 524 to 776 of the family's 1533-position model. The record is from RNAcentral.
UACGUAGGGUGCAGGCGUUAAUCGGAAUUACUGGGCGUAAAGGGCUCGUAGGCGGCCAGCUAAGUCAGACGUGAAAUCCCUCGGCUCAACCGGGGAACUGCGUCUGAUACUGGAUGGCUUGAGUGUGGGAGAGGGAUGCGGAAUUCCAGGUGUAGCGGUGAAAUGCGUAGAUAUCUGGAGGAACACCGGUGGCGAAGGCGGCAUCCUGGACCACGACUGACGCUGAGGAGCGAAAGCCAGGGGAGCAAACGGG